UACUGGUUAUCUUGAGUUGUAUUGAAGUAGGCGGAAUAUGUAGUGUAGCGGUGAAAUGCAUAGAUAUUACAUAGAACACCAAUUGCGAAGGCAGCUUACUAAGUACUAACUGACGCUGAUGGACGAAAGCGUGGGUAGCGAACAGGAUUAGAUACCCUGGUAGUCCACGCCGUAAACGAUGGAUACUAGCUGUUCGGGGCCUUGAGUUCUGAGCGGCUAAGCGAAAGUGAUAAGUAUCCCACCUGGGGAGUACGUUCGCAAGAAUGAAACUCAAAGGAAUUGACGGGGGCCCGCACAAGCGGUGGAGCAUGUGGUUUAAUUCGAUGAUACGCGAGGAACCUUACCAGGGCUUAAAUGUAGUCUGACAGCUUUAGAGAUAGAGUUUUCUUCGGACAGAUUACAAGGUGCUGCAUGGUUGUCGUCAGCUCGUGCCGUGAGGUGUCAGGUUAAGUCCUAUAACGAGCGCAACCCCUGUCGUUAGUUGCCAGCAUGUCAUGAUGGGGACUCUAAACGAGACUGCCGGUGCAAACCGCGAGGAAAGGUGGGGAUGACGUCAAAUCAUCACGGCCCUUACGUCCUGGGCCCACACACGUGCUUACAAUGGCCGGGUACAGAGAGCAGCCCACGUUCGCAAGGGCGGAAGGCGAAUCUAUAAAACCCGGGUCACAAGUUUCGGAAUC
Molecule: ribosomal RNA, 680 nt
Filed under: uncultured bacterium
Lineage: Bacteria
Description: bacterial SSU rRNA
Rfam family: Bacterial small subunit ribosomal RNA
Source: RNAcentral